This 332-nucleotide long non-coding RNA is filed under the name Pan troglodytes (chimpanzee). RNAcentral's name for it is "long non-coding RNA NONPTRT007601". The record is from RNAcentral. Lineage: Eukaryota; Metazoa; Chordata; Mammalia; Primates; Hominidae.
ACUUCAAUGUGAAAAGCCUUUCCAGAUGCAUUUCUGGCCAUGCUUGUGUUUUAUUAUCCACCCAUAACUUGAUCUGUUGCAAUAUGUUCCCUCCACUUAGCUUUUGCUGAAACUCUUCUCUCCAUUCAGCCCCUCCAAAGAGAAAACUGGCUUUUUGUAUUCUUUCACUUCUAUGGGCUGAGUAGAAAAUUCCAGCAAAUCUGUCUCUCCUGCUGCCACGUAAGACUGUAAGACGUACUUUGCUUCCCCUUCACCUUCCACCAUGACUUUAAGUUUCCUAAGACCUCCCCAGUUCUUGCCUCCUCAGAAGAAAGAAUUUAGCCGAGGGGCAU